Molecule: ribosomal RNA, 347 nt
Filed under: uncultured bacterium
Lineage: Bacteria
Description: partial 16S ribosomal RNA
Rfam family: Bacterial small subunit ribosomal RNA
Source: RNAcentral
UAGGGAAUCUUCGGCAAUGGGGCAACCCUGACCGAGCAACGCCGCGUGAGUGAAGAAGGUCUUCGGAUCGUAAAGCUCUGUUGUAAGUCAAGAACGGGUGUGAGAGUGGAAAGUUCACACUGUGACGGUAGCUUACCAGAAAGGGACGGCUAACUACGUGCCAGCAGCCGCGGUAAUACGUAGGUCCCGAGCGUUGUCCGGAUUUAUUGGGCGUAAAGCGAGCGCAGGCGGUUUGAUAAGUCUGAAGUUAAAGGCUGUGGCUCAACCAUAGUUCGCUUUGGAAACUGUCAAACUUGAGUGCAGAAGGGGAGAGUGGAAUUCCAUGUGUAGCGGUGAAAUGCGUAGAU